UGGGGAAUAUUGCACAAUGGGCGCAAGCCUGAUGCAGCCAUGCCGCGUGUAUGAAGAAGGCCUUCGGGUUGUAAAGUACUUUCAGCGGGGAGGAAGGCGAUAAGGUUAAUAACCUUGUCGAUUGACGUUACCCGCAGAAGAAGCACCGGCUAACUCCGUGCCAGUAUCCGCGGUAAUACGGAGGGGGCAAGCGUUAAUCGGAAUUACUGGGCGUAAAGCGCACGCAGGCGGUCUGUCAAGUCGGAUGUGAAAUCCCCGGGCUCAACCUGGGAACUGCAUUCGAAACUGGCAGGCUAGAGUCUUGUAGAGGGGGGUAGAAUUCCAGGUGUAGCGGUGAAAUGCGUAGAGAUCUGGAGGAAUACCGGUGGCGAAGGCGGCCCCCUGGACAAAGACUGACGCUCAGGUGCGAAAGCGUGGGGAGCAAACA
Molecule: ribosomal RNA, 427 nt
Filed under: uncultured bacterium
Lineage: Bacteria
Description: partial 16S ribosomal RNA
Rfam family: Bacterial small subunit ribosomal RNA
Source: RNAcentral